Molecule: unclassified non-coding RNA, 234 nt
Filed under: plant metagenome
Description: partial contains small subunit ribosomal RNA, internal transcribed spacer 1, and 5.8S ribosomal RNA
Source: RNAcentral
UUUCCGUAGGUGAACCAGCGGAAGGAUCAUUAAAGUUAUAGUCCCCCGGCCCUCUGGGCUGGGGUCUUCUAUACCACCCUUUGUUUAUUACACCUUUGUUGCUUUGGCAGGCCUGCCCUCGGGCUGCUGGCUCCGGCCGGCUCGCGUCUGCCAGAGGACCUAAACUCUGUUUGUAUAUGAAGUCUGAGUACUAUAUAAUAGUUAAAACUUUCAACAACGGAUCUCUUGGUUCUG